Molecule: long non-coding RNA, 2268 nt
Filed under: Corvus moneduloides (New Caledonian crow)
Lineage: Eukaryota; Metazoa; Chordata; Aves; Passeriformes; Corvidae
Description: lncRNA (ENSCMUG00000019233.1)
Source: RNAcentral
CUGGCCCCGCCCCCCGCGCCCGGCCUGCGGCACCGCGGCGGCGGCCGGUGAGUGCCCCGGCCCUGCGCCGCUCCCCCGGCUCGGCACCGCCGGCUCGGCACCGCCGGCUCGGCACCCCCGGGCACGGCACCCCCGGGCACGCGCCCCUGCGGGCACAGCCUGCCCGCCGCCGGCGGCUGGGGGAGCCGCGACCCGGGGUGCUCCUGCCCUGGCCCCCGAGAGGUCCCGAGCUCUUCCGCCGUGGCAGGAAUUGGGGCGGGGGGGAGCCCCUUCCCCGCCUGUGCAGGGAGGGCGAGGCCUGGGGAGUGGGGAAGGGCCGCUCUCUCUGAACGGGCUGGCGGCUGCUCCGCGCCUGUACCUUCCCCCCCUGCCCGCCCCCCAGCCUGAGCCUCUGCCAGCCCCCCUGCUCGGUACUGGUUUGACUGGUGGUAUCAGACAAGGGGAAUUUCCUCUUAAAUGGUCAGUAGGGAAGAAAUCAGAAUUAUUAAAUCAGAUUAUUUUAACUGGGUAAGAUACCUGUUCGCAGAAUGCAGUGCUGGUUUUCAAAUCAGAAUUUCUUUGUAGGAUCUGUAAGUAACAGCUAAAGAUCUUCAGGAUGCUUAUUUAAGUAACAGAUAAUUUCUUAAAUUUCUUGAAAGCUCAUUUUGUUACCUUGAUACAAGAGUUUUCUCAUUCUAGUGCUAGAUUUUAUUGAAGAACAAGGGCCACAGGUAGCUCACGUGUAAUUGACAUACUUCAAGAUGAUGCUGCUUUAUGUUGCUGUUCUGAAAUUGUCAGUUAAUUGGUUCUCUUUGCUUUGAUAUUUUCCUCGUAGAUGGGGAAGCCAUAGGGAGUUUGUAUCAUGGCAGCAGGUGAGGAUGGACUGGGACUGUUUGAUAUCCGCUACAGUGCUGAAGCUUCCCCCUUCAGGGAAGGAGAUGAGAGCUCAGUGGAUAUUUAUGAUGGCUUGGACAGCAGUGUGUCGGUUUCUGACAAUUUUGCACCAAAUACUACACCAUCUAGAAGCAGCUUAAAUUUAUUUGAUGAAAUAUUAAUUGAAGAAGGGACUGCAAAGAAAGCAUCCUAUGAUGAGGUAUGUAUUAAUAUGGAAAAAAAAUCUAGUGUUUUUGGGGGGUUUUGUUCCAAAUUUUCUUGUGUAAAAAGUAAAGUACAGAAAAUGUUGUCGGCAUGCUCACAUUGUUGGAAAAAUAGGCUGUUUUUAAAUAAGUAAGAACAAGAGUGUGCUAAUAAACUCUUAGGACAAUGAGUUCAUCUGAAGAGGGAAAUCUGUCACUCUGUGACAUGAUGUGUUCCCAUUUCUUAUCCUUUGCAUGCAGUUCAUGUAUCAGCUACAUAGUGGGAGAAUGUUUUGUGGUUUCCCUCUAGUCAAGGAUCUCAUCAGACAUAUGAUACAAAGCUGGUCUUGACAUUUCUCCCAACAAAUUUUUUACAGAGUAAAGCAGAUAAAUCCAUGACCUAUCUUAUGUCUUGUUAAAUUCUGUCCUUGAGACUGAAGGUGGCCAUGCAGUAGGUAGCUGCUUCCAGCAAAUCAAGGCAACACUCACUUAAGUAGCAUCACCAGUCCUGGCCUACAAGACGCAUUUAAAUGGCAUAAAAGGGACAGACAUCCACAGAUGUUGGAAGGAGCAGGAGCGGAACCUCCAGGACUCCACUGAGUGAUGAAAAUGUCACUUUGCAAGUUUGAAAGUUGUUGACUGUUUGUUUGAAUGGAAGUUGUCCAUUCUUCUGUGAAAGCUUUGUCACUAUCUACCUCUAAAGAAGAGCUUCUGCCAAAUUUAUUUUGCUUAACUUUGUGAUCUUAGCAGCAUCAUGUCCUUUUGCAGUCUAUUUUUUGCAGUCCACGUUUGUAGUAACUUUUUGUUGUGUUUUUCCUUACCUGUUUUGUGUUACACAAAAUCUGACAAGAGAGUCCCCAUCUACUUGGCUCUUAGAACUCCUGCUCCUUGGUAAUUGUGUCUUUAAUUUCACAACAAUAUGGCUUUCUGUUAUUCUUUAGCCUAUUACUGUUAGGCAAGCACACAUAGAUUUCCUCUUACCUGAGUGUUUGUGUCAUUUUAGAGACCUGUAUACUAGUUGGAGCAUAUUGGAGCCUUUUGUUUCAAUACAGCUUUAAUAUGUUUCUUUGGGGGAAAAAACAGGUUUGUAAUAUACAUUAGUGUGUUAACUAGGUAUAAAUCUAGAGAAGUAACUCUUCUGUGUAAUUAAGUCCGCUCCUAUGCUGUGAAUUCUUCUCUCUUUGACAGUUGCAGGCAGAAUAUGGAAAAUGCC